Molecule: ribosomal RNA, 641 nt
Filed under: Mycobacterium sp. I15A-00858
Lineage: Bacteria; Bacillati; Actinomycetota; Actinomycetes; Mycobacteriales; Mycobacteriaceae
Description: bacterial SSU rRNA
Rfam family: Bacterial small subunit ribosomal RNA
Source: RNAcentral
GCGAACGGGUGAGUAACACGUGGGUGAUCUGCCCUGCACUUUGGGAUAAGCCUGGGAAACUGGGUCUAAUACCGAAUAGGACCGCAUGCUUCAUGGUGUGUGGUGGAAAGCUUUUGCGGUGUGGGAUGGGCCCGCGGCCUAUCAGCUUGUUGGUGGGGUAAUGGCCUACCAAGGCGACGACGGGUAGCCGGCCUGAGAGGGUGUCCGGCCACACUGGGACUGAGAUACGGCCCAGACUCCUACGGGAGGCAGCAGUGGGGAAUAUUGCACAAUGGGCGCAAGCCUGAUGCAGCGACGCCGCGUGAGGGAUGACGGCCUUCGGGUUGUAAACCUCUUUCAGCAGGGACGAAGCGCAAGUGACGGUACCUGUAGAAGAAGCACCGGCCAACUACGUGCCAGCAGCCGCGGUAAUACGUAGGGUGCGAGCGUUGUCCGGAAUUACUGGGCGUAAAGAGCUCGUAGGUGGUUUGUCGCGUUGUUCGUGAAAACUCACAGCUCAACUGUGGGCGUGCGGGCGAUACGGGCAGACUUGAGUACUGCAGGGGAGACUGGAAUUCCUGGUGUAGCGGUGGAAUGCGCAGAUAUCAGGAGGAACACCGGUGGCGAAGGCGGGUCUCUGGGCAGUAACUGACGCUGAGGAG